RNAcentral lists this ribosomal RNA (371 nucleotides) under Badhamia polycephala. RNAcentral describes it as "eukaryotic LSU rRNA". It matches the Rfam family "Eukaryotic large subunit ribosomal RNA", at positions 1 to 364 of the family's 3401-position model. Lineage: Eukaryota; Evosea; Eumycetozoa; Physariida; Physaraceae. The record is from RNAcentral.
CGGGAUGGCAGACCAGGGCGUUCACCCGCUCAAUUUAAGCAUAUUAGUCAGCGGAGGAAAAGAAAUCAAUCGAGAUUCCCGUAGUAGCUGCGAGCGAACAGGGAAAAGCCCGAGACCGAAUCCCUUCCCCCCUAGCGGGGGUCGCGGACCUGUAGUCUAAGGGUUGGGACCGCGAGUCAAAGACUUACAGCACACAGGCUAAGAUCCUGGAGCACAGGGCGUUACACGCGACCUGGUAGGGCGGCGACGAGAGGGACUGACCCGCGAGUAGGCCAGCUUGAAAGUGCUGGCUGAAGAUAGGUGGUGCUGGCCAUCUAAGGCUAAAUAUGAAAGCAGGCAACCGAUAGCAAACAAGUACCGUAAGGGAAAGC